This is a long non-coding RNA of Hermetia illucens (black soldier fly), 555 nucleotides long. RefSeq lists it as uncharacterized. The transcript has 2 exons. The record is from RefSeq and is a predicted model, not a curated record. Lineage: Eukaryota; Metazoa; Arthropoda; Insecta; Diptera; Stratiomyidae.
CCGCACAAACAACAGUGCAACCACUACGUACACGUACAGGAGAUUGGGAACUCAAUUGAAAUCGAUUCGGCGAGUGAAAGCAAAGUUGCAAGUUCAAUGUUGCCAAGUUUCGUCAGGUUCCAGCCAUCUGACAGUUGCGACGUGACAAACAUGAUAUUUAAGGACCAGUAAUGCAUCGACAGAGGAUGACUCGAAGAAAGAGUGUUCAAGAUCAGUAAGAACAACCUGAACAGGAACGGUCCCAGAAUUGCGAUCAAGGCGCGUGAAAUUACAAAUCUCAGAGCAGGAAAUGCUAUCCUCAGUACGAACGGUUUCCAGAGUAUCAUUAAGGCUGUCAUUAACAUUUUGGAUUGAGACAUACUUUCAACAUAGUCAUCAGCAACCUCCAAAAAUAAUUCCGUAGUUAUAGAGUCAAUUAUUGUAUUAUUAAUUUUCAUAUUUUUCUGAUGUAAGUCAAAGAUCUUUGUCGUAGUAUAUCAUAAUGUUAGUGAACAUGUCAAAUUGUGAUAAUAAUAUAAUUUGUCGUUACAUAAAUAAAAGUAAAAUAAAAGAAAA